GUAAACCUUCGUCGUGAUGGUUCCUCUCGCUUGCCUUGGGGUGGGCAGAGGUGAAAAGGGAACGCGGUCAGGGGCUGUUUCCUCCCGAACCCGCGGCUGCCCCCGCAACUGUAUGCGGAGAGGAUGCGCCCGUUUUGAGAAGCCACUGGUUUCGGCCCCGACGACCACCGGGGGCCGUUUCGAACCGGGAAGGCUGGGGCGCCGAUCCUUUGACCCGCGAGCCAGGAGACCUGCCAUCGCUGUCGCGUGCGC
Molecule: non-coding RNA, 252 nt
Filed under: Paramagnetospirillum magneticum
Lineage: Bacteria; Pseudomonadati; Pseudomonadota; Alphaproteobacteria; Rhodospirillales; Magnetospirillaceae
Also listed under: 1 other name
Source: RNAcentral